This 323-nucleotide unclassified non-coding RNA is filed under the name soil metagenome. RNAcentral's name for it is "partial contains 5.8S ribosomal RNA, internal transcribed spacer 2, and large subunit ribosomal RNA". The stretch from base 1 to 120 matches the Rfam family "5.8S ribosomal RNA", at positions 35 to 154 of the family's 154-position model. The record is from RNAcentral.
GAUGAAGAACGUAGUGAAAUGCGAUAAGUAAUGUGAAUUGCAGAAUUCAGUGAAUCAUCGAAUCUUUGAACGCACAUUGCGCCCUGUGGUAUUCCGCAGGGCAUGCCUGUUCGAGCGUCAUUUCAACCCUCAAGCCCCGCUUGGUGUUGGGCCCCGCCCGCUGUGGCCGGCCCUAAAGACAGUGGCGGUGCCGCCUGGCCCUGAGCGUAGUACAUCUCUCGCUCCAGUGCCCGGUGGUAGCCUGCCAGAACCCCAACUCUCGUGGUUGACCUCGGAUCAGGUAGGGAUACCCGCUGAACUUAAGCAUAUCAAUAAGCGGAGGA